Xenopus laevis (African clawed frog) is the source of this 73-nucleotide non-coding RNA. The record is from Rfam. Lineage: Eukaryota; Metazoa; Chordata; Amphibia; Anura; Pipidae.
GGUUUCAUAGUGUAGUGGUUAUUGCAUCUGCUUUACACGAAGAAGGUCCUGGGUUCAAUCCCCAGUGAAACCA